UACGAGAGGCCCAACCGUUAUUCGGAAUUACUGGGCUUAAAGAGUUCGUAGGCGGCAUUGCAAGUAGGGUGUGAAAGCCCUCGGCUCAACCGAGGAAUUGCGCUCUAAACUGCAGUGCUCGAGGAAGCUAGAGGUGAGCAGAACAGAUGGUGGAGCGGUGAAAUGCGUUGAUAUCAUCUGGAAUACCGGAGGCGAAGGCGGCUCACUGGGGCUUUUCUGACGCUGAGGAACGAAAGCCAGGGUAGCGAACGGG
This 253-nucleotide ribosomal RNA is filed under the name uncultured bacterium. RNAcentral's name for it is "partial 16S ribosomal RNA". It matches the Rfam family "Bacterial small subunit ribosomal RNA", at positions 524 to 776 of the family's 1533-position model. The record is from RNAcentral.